UGAACAUCUAAACCCACGUAGCCCCAGCCCCAUUUGUUCAGUCCCUCACCUCACCACACCUCAUCCCUAAUUCCUCUUCCAAUCUUCCUCCAACUCCAACGAAGAGCAGCCGCCACCCAGCCACCAUCACCGCUAUCCACUCCUCACCGUGGGUCGUCGGUGCUUCUCCCCUCCUCGCCCUGCUCCUCAUCGUUUCUGGCUGUCACUUCUUCUCUGCUUCCCGUUAGUCUUCCCGUUGCUGCCUCUUCGCUCCGCACCGUCUCCCGUCAUCGUUGCAUACGUUGCUUCUCCUUGCCGUCGUCGUCUCUCAAAGAUCUGCUUGGAGCUGUUGGCGUCGCAGUCUCCGUCAUCGUCGUCUUCGAGCCCUCUCACUCCUUCUCUUUCUGUCCGAGCUGAAUUUCCUUCCUCCCUGGCCGUCACUUCCCUUCCUCCCUCAUUGCCAGUUGAAUAAUUGUUGAAUAAUUGUUCAUUGUUCCGAAAGUCCAAAGAAAUAAGAAGCUUCUAGGUUGAAUAAUUGUUGA
Arachis ipaensis is the source of this 521-nucleotide non-coding RNA. The record is from RefSeq and is a predicted model, not a curated record. Lineage: Eukaryota; Viridiplantae; Streptophyta; Magnoliopsida; Fabales; Fabaceae.